Molecule: transfer RNA, 64 nt
Filed under: Phalangium opilio (common harvesterman)
Lineage: Eukaryota; Metazoa; Arthropoda; Arachnida; Opiliones; Phalangiidae
Description: tRNA-Pro
Source: RNAcentral
UAAGAGAUAGUUAUAAUUUAUAAUAUUAAUUUUGGGGAUUAAAGUUACUGUGUGGUUCUCUUAA